UGCGGAAGGAUCAUUGUCGAA
This 21-nucleotide ribosomal RNA is filed under the name Tecomella undulata. RNAcentral describes it as "partial 18S ribosomal RNA". The record is from RNAcentral. Lineage: Eukaryota; Viridiplantae; Streptophyta; Magnoliopsida; Lamiales; Bignoniaceae.